RNAcentral lists this microRNA (22 nucleotides) under Lingula anatina. Its description in RNAcentral is "Lan-Mir-1994-o1b_3p (mature (guide))". Lineage: Eukaryota; Metazoa; Brachiopoda; Lingulata; Lingulida; Lingulidae. The record is from RNAcentral.
UGAGACAGUGUGUCCUCCUUCA